ACAUGUUCAGAAACAACCUGUGACAUUUUCACAUGCACAAGCUAAAAGUGCCCGUAUCUAUUCCUCAGUGUAUCCACAAAUGUCCGUUUACUGCUGGUUCAUUUUCUGUUCUGUUGCCAUUUCACAGCAAUAGGUUGAAAGGUGCCCUAAAGGUGAUCUUCAUGGCUCCCAGUCAAGUGCAGAAAGCCAAUGUAAAGACAGAGGCCGACUGUUGGAAAAGGUCAUUGCUGCUUUCAUCAGCUGACACAGGAACCAAUGAACAGGAAAACCCUCACUAUUGUUAACAAGAUCUAUCUCGCAAAAAAAUGUUGUUGACCUCUCUCUCCCCUGUUCCAUGGUGGAGGUGCGGGCUGAAGAGGAAGGAAGGUGAGUGUCCUCUGCCCUGUUAUUUAUUCUCCCUGAACUUUUUGAAAAUGCAUGGCUGGUACUAGCCCAUCUCUCCCUGACUCACCCAGAGGAAGGGUGCCUUUUUCUAAGUGACACCAAGGUGCUGUAUGGACUGGCAGCCGUCCUGGGUGUGAGUUAUCGGUCCCAAAACUCUGUGUUAGGUGCUGUAGGGAGAUUUGUUGGAAGUGUUCCUGAAGUGUAAAGGGGAAAGCGACCGAGUGGUGCCUGGUCAGCCAAAAGAAAGUCAGAACUCCAAGCGAAGGGAACAGAACACUGGAACACGUGGGGCUCUGCAUCGUGCCAAAGGCUGUCCUCCACUGGUGCCAUUGGAUCUUGCCAUCAAAAUCCCAUCAGUGAGGAGAAGUAAGCCUGAGGAUCGGUACCCGUUCCAAUAGCACGACUCACAUGAAACAGACAAAACUGAAUCCAGAGCAGGGUGAUCCCCGAUGCCAAGGUUAAUAAAUUUGAACUGAGCUGCAUUUACAAUGCACACGUCAGCUUUUGAUUCAACAAGAGAUUCCUUGAUCCUGAGUGAAUCCAACACUGUAUUGUGACAUGGAGAAUACAUGGAGAAAUAAAAUUAUAAAAAGUGAAUCAUUCUGAAAGAUUAAA
This is a long non-coding RNA of Felis catus (domestic cat), 999 nucleotides long. RefSeq lists it as uncharacterized. Lineage: Eukaryota; Metazoa; Chordata; Mammalia; Carnivora; Felidae. The record is from RefSeq and is a predicted model, not a curated record. The transcript has 2 exons.